RNAcentral lists this transfer RNA (82 nucleotides) under Octopus vulgaris (common octopus). It matches the Rfam family "tRNA". From Rfam's summary of the family: Transfer RNA (tRNA) molecules are approximately 80 nucleotides in length. Their secondary structure includes four short double-helical elements and three loops (D, anti-codon, and T loops). RNAcentral also lists the same sequence under 1 other name. The record is from Rfam by way of RNAcentral. Lineage: Eukaryota; Metazoa; Mollusca; Cephalopoda; Octopoda; Octopodidae.
GACGAGGUGGCCGACUGGUUAAGGCGAUGGACUGCUAAUCCAUUGGGAUUGCCUCGCGUGAGUUCGAAUCUCACCCUCGUCG